GACGAACGCUGGCGGCGUGCCUAAUACAUGCAAGUAGAACGCACAGUUUAUACCGUAGCUUGCUACACCAUAAACUGUGAGUUGCGAACGGGUGAGUAACGCGUAGGUAACCUGCCUGGUAGCGGGGGAUAACUAUUGGAAACGAUAGCUAAUACCGCAUAAUAUUGAUUAUUGCAUGAUAAUUGAUUGAAAGAUGCUAUUGCAUCACUACCAGAUGGACCUGCGUUGUAUUAGCUAGUAGGUGAGGUAACGGCUCACCUAGGCGACGAUACAUAGCCGACCUGGGAGGGUGAUCGGCCACACUGGGACUGGGACACGGCCCAGACGCCUGCGGGAGGCAGCAGUAGGGAAUCUUCGGCAAUGGACGAAAGUCUGACCGAGCAACGCCGCGUGAGUGAAGAAGGUGUUCGGAUCGUAAAGCUCUGUUGUAAGAGAAGAACGGGUGUGAGAGUGGAAAGUUCACACUGUGACGGUAUCUUACCAGAAAGGGACGGCUAACUACGUG
Molecule: ribosomal RNA, 505 nt
Filed under: uncultured bacterium
Lineage: Bacteria
Description: partial 16S ribosomal RNA
Rfam family: Bacterial small subunit ribosomal RNA
Source: RNAcentral